AUCUCUUAAAAGUGGAAUUAUCUUCUUUGGAUUGUAGUGGAACUCCCCCCUCAAUGAAGGUUCUCAGGUGAAGGAUAUGACUGCCCAUAUAAUGAAUAGAACAUAGUUGGGAUUCUUAUUCAAAAGUUUGGAUCACUGUAUCAGAUGGCUGCUGAGUUCCUUUUUACUCUAAAAGUUUGUGGCUCUGGGUAGCAGAAAAAAGGCUACACUUGGAGUCAAGGAAGAUUCCUCAUUAAGGAAUGAAAGGAAGUGACCUGGAAGUCUACAGACAAGGAUUUUGAUUAGGAAUAGUAAAGAUAAAAAAUAUAAAUUUCAAAGAAGGGAAGGUUACUUGGAAGUAGAAAUGGGAAGUAAGAAAUUAUCUUCUCAACCAGUGAGUUGUGUAUAUAAUGUUGUUGCAAGGUUUUUUUGUACAUAGUAACUAUAAGGUGAAUUUAAAUUAAUUUCCUUAGGUUUUGUUUCUGUAUAGUUAGAGUUGUGUUAUUCUGUAACUGUAAAUAUCUGUAUGAAAUGUGUAACUUGCAUUUUGCAAGAUGUUUUGCUUCCUUUCUUUUUAACUCUCUUCUCCCUGUUUCUAGUAUAGAAUAUAGAAUAAGUUUAGUUUGAAAGAUCCAUUUGGGCAGAAUAUUUCUCCCAAAAGGACCUCAGGAGGGAAUAUUGUUAUAAGGAAUUUUAUUUAUCUCACUCUGGCUCUUUAAGAGCAUAAUUCUUCUCAAUAGAACUCUGUCUCUUUAAGAGAAAACCAUAAAAGAGAGGAAGAGAGUCAGUUAGCAGCUCCAUUUUGCUCUGGCUUCAGUCUGAGAGGAGUUGGAAGGUACUGGUUCAGUUUUCUCUCUAUCAGGAGAAACUGACAGUGAAGAUUUUAAAGUUUGAUCUUAUGAUAUUGAGUUGGGAAGAAAUCAGUGACUGAGAGGUCUGUUCUUUUCAGAAUACACGGAGAAGCUAAACUGUCUGUUCACUGAGACAAGCAGUUUGACCAUUCUGGAGUUGAGGGAACAGGAGUUCUGGGACUGUUCAGUUUUGGCUCUCUGUCAAGAGGUCUCUCUGACAGUUGGCUUCUGGAAGUUUUGGAUUUCAGGUCAAGCCACCAGGCUAUGCCAGUCGACUACCAGACACUGUGCUAAGUAUGGGGGGAUACAAAGAAAGGUAAAAAUAAGUCAAUCUAUCAGUCCUGGCUAUCAAGGAGUCCAGAGCUUGAGGGAGACAAAACCUACAAACAACUAUGAGCAAACAAACUCCAUAUAGGAUAAAAUAAAGAAUACUCCAUUAAGCA
This 1273-nucleotide long non-coding RNA is filed under the name Monodelphis domestica (gray short-tailed opossum). Its description in RNAcentral is "lncRNA (ENSMODG00000049101.1)". Lineage: Eukaryota; Metazoa; Chordata; Mammalia; Didelphimorphia; Didelphidae. The record is from RNAcentral.